RNAcentral lists this ribosomal RNA (449 nucleotides) under uncultured bacterium. Its description in RNAcentral is "partial 16S ribosomal RNA". It matches the Rfam family "Bacterial small subunit ribosomal RNA", at positions 338 to 795 of the family's 1533-position model. The record is from RNAcentral.
CCUACGGGUGGCAGCAGUGGGGAAUAUUGGACAAUGGGGGAAACCCUGAUCCAGCAAUGCCGCGUGUGUGAAGAAGGCCUGCGGGUUGUAAAGCACUUUCGGUUGGGAAGAAAAGUUUGGCGCCAAUACCGCCGAACCUUGACGUUACUGACAGAAGAAGCACCGGCCAACUCUGUGCCAGCAGCCGCGGUAAUACAGAGGGUGUAAGCGGUAGUCGGAAUUACUGGGCGGGUCGCGCACGUCGGGUGUGAAAUCCCCGGGCUUAACCUGGGAACUGCAUUCGAUACUACAUGGCUAGAGUAUGGUAGAGGGAAGUGGAAUGUCCGGUGUAGCGGUGAAAUGCGUAGAUAUCGGAAGGAACACCAAUGGCGAAGGCAGCUUCCUGGACUAAUACUGACACUGAGGCACGAAAGCGUGGGUAGCAAACAGGAUUAGAUACCCGAGUAGUC